This 484-nucleotide ribosomal RNA is filed under the name Penicillium glabrum. RNAcentral describes it as "eukaryotic LSU rRNA". The stretch from base 175 to 328 matches the Rfam family "5.8S ribosomal RNA". Lineage: Eukaryota; Fungi; Ascomycota; Eurotiomycetes; Eurotiales; Aspergillaceae. The record is from RNAcentral.
ACUGAGUGAGGGCCGUCUGGGUCCGACGUCCCACCCGUGUUUAUUGUACGUUGUUGCUUCGGUGCGCCCGCCUCACGGCCGCCGGGGGGCUUCUGCCCCCGGGUCCGCGCGCACCGGAGACACCAUUGAACUCUGUCUGAAGAUUGCAGUCUGAGCAUAAACUAAAUAAGUUAAAACUUUCAACAACGGAUCUCUUGGUUCCGGCAUCGAUGAAGAACGCAGCGAAAUGCGAUAACUAAUGUGAAUUGCAGAAUUCAGUGAAUCAUCGAGUCUUUGAACGCACAUUGCGCCCCCUGGUAUUCCGGGGGGCAUGCCUGUCCGAGCGUCAUUGCUGCCCUCAAGCACGGCUUGUGUGUUGGGCUCCGUCCCCCCGGGGACGGGUCCGAAAGGCAGCGGCGGCACCGAGUCCGGUCCUCGAGCGUAUGGGGCUUUGUCACCCGCUCUGUAGGCCCGGCCGGCGCCAGCCGACAACCAAUCAUCCUUU